GUGCUCAUUUCAGCAUCAUAUACACUAUAUUUGGAACAAUUCAUAGAAGAUUAACAUGCCUUCUAUGCAAAGUUGAAACACAAAUUUAUAAAGUAUUUCAUAAUUCU
This 107-nucleotide small nuclear RNA is filed under the name Peromyscus maniculatus bairdii (prairie deer mouse). Lineage: Eukaryota; Metazoa; Chordata; Mammalia; Rodentia; Cricetidae. The record is from RNAcentral.